GGUCCCUUAGUUUAAUGGUAGAACUCCAGAUUUACAUUCUGGCUGCGGUGGUUCAAUUCCAUCAGGGACUACCA
This 74-nucleotide transfer RNA is filed under the name compost metagenome. Its description in RNAcentral is "tRNA-Val". It matches the Rfam family "tRNA". From Rfam's summary of the family: Transfer RNA (tRNA) molecules are approximately 80 nucleotides in length. Their secondary structure includes four short double-helical elements and three loops (D, anti-codon, and T loops). Further hydrogen bonds mediate the characteristic L-shaped molecular structure. tRNAs have two regions of fundamental functional importance: the anti-codon, which is responsible for specific mRNA codon recognition, and the 3' end, to which the tRNAs corresponding amino acid is attached (by aminoacyl-tRNA synthetases). tRNAs cope with the degeneracy of the genetic code in two manners: having more than one tRNA (with a specific anti-codon) for a particular amino acid; and 'wobble' base-pairing, i.e. permitting non-standard base-pairing at the 3rd anti-codon position. The record is from RNAcentral.